RNAcentral lists this transfer RNA (74 nucleotides) under Candidatus Staskawiczbacteria bacterium. Its description in RNAcentral is "tRNA-Ser". It matches the Rfam family "tRNA". From Rfam's summary of the family: Transfer RNA (tRNA) molecules are approximately 80 nucleotides in length. Their secondary structure includes four short double-helical elements and three loops (D, anti-codon, and T loops). Lineage: Bacteria; Candidatus Staskawicziibacteriota. The record is from RNAcentral.
GGGCCCGUAGUUUCAUAUAGUUAAAACUUUGCCUUUGACAAGCAACAUAGCGGGUGCAAGUCCCGCCGGGUCCA